GUUCUCUCUUUGGCAGCAUGUAUAUUAAAAAUUGGAAUGAUACAGAGAUUACCACGGCCCUUGCCCAAGGAUGACACAAAUUCAUGAAACAUUCCAUAUUUAA
Small nuclear RNA from Arvicanthis niloticus (Nile rat), 103 nucleotides. NCBI's taxonomy places the organism in Eukaryota, Metazoa, Chordata, Mammalia, Rodentia, Muridae. The record is from RefSeq and is a predicted model, not a curated record.